UACGAAGGGGGCUAGCGUUGUUCGGAAUUACUGGGCGUAAAGGGUUUGUAGGUGGCUUGUUAAGUCAGACGUGAAAUCCCUCAGCUUAACUGGGGAACUGCGUCUGAUACUGGCGAGCUUGAGUGCAGGAGAGGAACGCGGAAUUCCAGGUGUAGCGGUGAAAUGCGUAGAUAUCUGGAGGAACACCGGUGGCGAAGGCGGCGUUCUGGACUGCAACUGACACUGAGAAACGAAAGCCAGGGUAGCAAACGGG
Molecule: ribosomal RNA, 253 nt
Filed under: uncultured bacterium
Lineage: Bacteria
Description: partial 16S ribosomal RNA
Rfam family: Bacterial small subunit ribosomal RNA
Source: RNAcentral